Molecule: ribosomal RNA, 253 nt
Filed under: uncultured bacterium
Lineage: Bacteria
Description: partial 16S ribosomal RNA
Rfam family: Bacterial small subunit ribosomal RNA
Source: RNAcentral
UACGGAGGGGGCUAGCGUUGUUCGGAAUUACUGGGCGUAAAGCGCACGUAGGCGGCUUUGUAAGUUAGAGGUGAAAGCCCGGGGCUCAACUCCGGAAUUGCCUUUAAGACUGCAUCGCUAGAAUUGUGGAGAGGUAAGUGGAAUUCCGAGUGUAGAGGUGAAAUUCGUAGAUAUUCGGAAGAACACCGGUGGCGAAGGCGGCCAUCUGGCUCGGUACUGACGCUCAGGUUCGAAAGCGUGGGGAGCAAACAGG